This 1443-nucleotide ribosomal RNA is filed under the name uncultured organism. RNAcentral describes it as "SSU rRNA". It matches the Rfam family "Bacterial small subunit ribosomal RNA". The record is from RNAcentral.
AACGCUAGCUACAGGCUUAACACAUGCAAGUCGAGGGGCAGCAUUUUAGUUUGCUUGCAAACUGAAGAUGGCGACCGGCGCACGGGUGAGUAACACGUAUCCAACCUGCCGAUAACUCCGGGAUAGCCUUUCGAAAGAAAGAUUAAUACCGGAUAGCAUACGAAUAUCGCAUGAUAUUUUUAUUAAAGAAUUUCGGUUAUCGAUGGGGAUGCGUUCCAUUAGUUUGUUGGCGGGGUAACGGCCCACCAAGACUACGAUGGAUAGGGGUUCUGAGAGGAAGGUCCCCCACAUUGGAACUGAGACACGGUCCAAACUCCUACGGGAGGCAGCAGUGAGGAAUAUUGGUCAAUGGGCGCGAGCCUGAACCAGCCAAGUAGCGUGAAGGAUGAAGGCUCUAUGGGUCGUAAACUUCUUUUAUAUGGGAAUAAAGUUUUCCACGUGUGGAAUUUUGUAUGUACCAUAUGAAUAAGGAUCGGCUAACUCCGUGCCAGCAGCCGCGGUAAUACGGAGGAUCCGAGCGUUAUCCGGAUUUAUUGGGUUUAAAGGGAGCGUAGGUGGAUUGUUAAGUCAGUUGUGAAAGUUUGCGGCUCAACCGUAAAAUUGCAGUUGAAACUGGCAGUCUUGAGUACAGUAGAGGUGGGCGGAAUUCGUGGUGUAGCGGUGAAAUGCUUAGAUAUCACGAAGAACUCCGAUUGCGAAGGCAGCUCACUAGACUGUCACUGACACUGAUGCUCGAAAGUGUGGGUAUCAAACAGGAUUAGAUACCCUGGUAGUCCACACAGUAAACGAUGAAUACUCGCUGUUUGCGAUAUACAGUAAGCGGCCAAGCGAAAGCAUUAAGUAUUCCACCUGGGGAGUACGCCGGCAACGGUGAAACUCAAAGGAAUUGACGGGGGCCCGCACAAGCGGAGGAACAUGUGGUUUAAUUCGAUGAUACGCGAGGAACCUUACCCGGGCUUAAAUUGCAACAGAAUAUAUUGGAAACAGUAUAGCCGUAAGGCUGUUGUGAAGGUGCUGCAUGGUUGUCGUCAGCUCGUGCCGUGAGGUGUCGGCUUAAGUGCCAUAACGAGCGCAACCCUUAUCUUUAGUUACUAACAGGUCAUGCUGAGGACUCUAGAGAGACUGCCGUCGUAAGAUGUGAGGAAGGUGGGGAUGACGUCAAAUCAGCACGGCCCUUACGUCCGGGGCUACACACGUGUUACAAUGGGGGGUACAGAAGGCGGCUACCUGGUGACAGGAUGCUAAUCCCAAAAACCUCUCUCAGUUCGGAUCGAAGUCUGCAACCCGACUUCGUGAAGCUGGAUUCGCUAGUAAUCGCGCAUCAGCCAUGGCGCGGUGAAUACGUUCCCGGGCCUUGUACACACCGCCCGUCAAGCCAUGAAAGCCGGGGGUACCUGAAGUACGUAACCGCAAGGAGCGUCCUAGGGUAAAACUGGUAAUUGG